RNAcentral lists this ribosomal RNA (435 nucleotides) under uncultured bacterium. RNAcentral's name for it is "partial 16S ribosomal RNA". It matches the Rfam family "Bacterial small subunit ribosomal RNA", at positions 29 to 507 of the family's 1533-position model. The record is from RNAcentral.
AGCGAACGCUGGCGGCAGGCUUAACACAUGCAAGUCGAGCGGGCACUUUCGGGUGUCAGCGGCGGACGGGUGAGUAACGCGUGGGAACGUGCCCUCUGGUUCGGAAUAACUCAGGGAAACUUGAGCUAAUACCGGAUACGCCCUUUUGGGGAAAGGCUUGCUGCCGGAGGAUCGGCCCGCGUCUGAUUAUCUAGUUGGGGAGGUAACGGCUCACCAAGGCGACGAUCAGUAGCGGGUCUGAGAGGAUGAUCAGCCACACUGGGACUGAGACACGGCACAGACUCCUACGGGAAGCAGCAGUGGGGAAUAUUGGACAAUGGGCGCAAGCCUGAUCCAGCCAUGCCGCGUGAGUGAUGAAGGCCUUAGGGUUGUAAAGCUCUUUUAUCCGGGACGAUAAUGACGGUACCGGAGGAAUAAGCCCCGGCUAACUUCGUG